CCUACGGGGUGCAGCAGUAGGGAAUAUUGGGCAAUGGGCGAAAGCCUGACCCAGCAACGCCGCGUGAAGGAAGAAGGCUUUCGGGUUGUAAACUUCUUUUGACAGGGAAGAGCAGAAGACGGUACCUGUCUAAUAAUCCACGGCUAACUACGUCCCAGCAGCCGGGGUAAUACGUAGGUGGCAAGCGUUGUCCGGCGUUACUGGGUGUAAAGGGCGUGUAGCCGGGCUGACAAGUCAGAUGUGAAAGCCGGGGGCUCAACCCCCGAACGGCAUUUGAAACUGUUGGUCUUGAGUAUCGGAGAGGCAGGCGGAAUUCCUAGUGUAGCGGUGAAAUGCGUAGAUAUUAGGAGGAACACCAGUGGCGAAGGCGGCUUGCUGGACGACAACUGACGGUGAGGCGCGAAAGCGUGGGGAGCAAACAGGAUUAGAUACCCCUGUAGUC
Molecule: ribosomal RNA, 442 nt
Filed under: uncultured bacterium
Lineage: Bacteria
Description: partial 16S ribosomal RNA
Rfam family: Bacterial small subunit ribosomal RNA
Source: RNAcentral